RNAcentral lists this ribosomal RNA (405 nucleotides) under uncultured bacterium. RNAcentral's name for it is "partial 16S ribosomal RNA". It matches the Rfam family "Bacterial small subunit ribosomal RNA", at positions 360 to 776 of the family's 1533-position model. The record is from RNAcentral.
AAUAUUGCACAAUGGGCGGAAGCCUGAUGCAGCGACGCCGCGUGGGGGAUGACGGNCUNNGGGUUNUNAACCUCUUUCGACAGNNNNNAAGUGAAAAUGCCGGUACCUGUAUAAGAAGCACUGGCUAACUACGUGCAAGCAGCCGCGGUAAUCCGUAGGGUGCGAGCGUUUUCCGGAAUUACUGGGCGUAAAGAGCUCGUAGGGGGUUUGUCACGUCGUCUGUGGAAUUCCGGGGCUUAACCUCGGGCGUGCAGGCGAUACGGGCAAUACUUGAGUGUUGUAGGGGAGACUGGAAUUCCUGGUGUAGCGGUGAAAUGCGCAGAUAUCAGGAGGAACACCAAUGGCGAAGGCAGGUCUCUGGGCAGUUACUGACGCUGAGGAGCGAAAGCAUGGGUAGCGAACAGG